ACUCCGUGCCAGCAGCCCGCGGUAAUACGGAGGGUGCAAGCUUUAAUCGGAAUUACUGGGCGUAAAGCGCACGCAGGCGGUCUGUCAAGUCGGAUGUGAAAUCCCCGGGCUCAACCUGGGAACUGCAUCCGAAACUGGCAGGCUAGAGUCUUGUAGAGGGGGGUAGAAUUCCAGGUGUAGCGGUGAAAUGCGUAGAGAUCUGGAGGAAUACCGGUGGCGAAGGCGGCCCCCUGGACAAAGACUGACGCUCAGGUGCGAAAGCGUGGGGAGCAAACAGGAUUAGAUACCCUGGUAGUCCACGCCGUAAACGAUGUCGACUUGGAGGUUGUGCCCUUGAGGAGUGGCUUCCGGAGCUAACGCGUUAAGUCGACCGCCUGGGGAGUACGGCCCGCCAA
This 395-nucleotide ribosomal RNA is filed under the name Enterobacteriaceae bacterium Drenje 4.2. RNAcentral describes it as "bacterial SSU rRNA". It matches the Rfam family "Bacterial small subunit ribosomal RNA", at positions 500 to 897 of the family's 1533-position model. The record is from RNAcentral. Lineage: Bacteria; Pseudomonadati; Pseudomonadota; Gammaproteobacteria; Enterobacterales; Enterobacteriaceae.